Long non-coding RNA from Astyanax mexicanus (Mexican tetra), 1015 nucleotides. RefSeq lists it as uncharacterized. The record is from RefSeq and is a predicted model, not a curated record. The transcript has 3 exons. NCBI's taxonomy places the organism in Eukaryota, Metazoa, Chordata, Actinopteri, Characiformes, Acestrorhamphidae.
UUUAUGAUUAAGCAUCAUUUAUUUCUAAUUAUUUAUUUGAGUAUUAUAUUUUUUAUCUAUUUAAUUAAUUAACGAAUGUAGGUAUUUAUUUACGUAUGUUUUUAUUUUUAUUUGGAAAUGCAAUUUAUGUGGAAAAUUGUUAAGUUGAUUUCAACCAGUCAACACCACUCUGAUUUGCUGAGACCGCACGUCAUCAUAAACUCCACUCUGAUAUGCCGAGGCAAAACACGCUAAACAUUUUUUGGCUGCUGCAGUAGCUCAGCUCAGCUCAGCUCAGCUCAUUCAGUUCAGCUCGCUCAGCUCAGCUCCGCUCCGGACCGGACUCAGCUGCCAAGCUAUAAGAUGGAGUCAUGAAAUGUGACGGGACAGCCACCGAGGACUUCAUACUUCGGAGCAUCUCAAACAUGCACCACAAAGACGUGGAGGACACACCGCUGUCUCUCAGGACCUAGAAUCUUAAUGAAAGUAUAAUGAUGUUAAGGGAAGGUGUAAUGGAAAGGUGUAAUGUAAAGUUGUAAUGGUGUUAAGGGAAGGUGUAGUGGAAAGGUGUGAUAGUGUUGAGGGAAGGUGUAAUGUUAAAGGUGUGAUAGUGUUGAGGGAAGGUGUAAUAGUGUUGAGGGAAGGGGUAAUGUUAAAGGUGUAAUAGUGUUAAGGGAAGGUAUAAUAUUGUUAAGGGAAGGUGUAAUGUAAAGGUGUAAUAGUGUUAAGGGAAGGUAUAAUAUUGUUAAGGGAAGGUGUAAUGUAAAGGUGUAAUAGUGUUGAGGGAAGGUAUAAUAUUGUUAAGGGAAGGUGUAAUGUUAAAGGUGUAAUAGUUUUGAGGGAAGGUGUAAUAGUGUUGAGGGAAGGUGUAAUGUUAAAGGUGUAAUAGUGUUGAGGGAAGGUAUAAUAUUGUUAAGGGAAGGUGUAAUGUAAAGCUGUAAUAGUUUUAAGGGAAGGUAAAUGUUUAGUGAAAUUGUUAUGGUGUGAAUCUAAGGUGUAUGUUAUGUUGAUGUAAAAUAAAGGCAUUAACCCCAAA